Molecule: transfer RNA, 74 nt
Filed under: Trichonephila inaurata madagascariensis
Lineage: Eukaryota; Metazoa; Arthropoda; Arachnida; Araneae; Nephilidae
Description: tRNA-Val
Source: RNAcentral
GGUUCCGUAGUGUAGGUGUUUAUCACGUUCGCUUCACACGCGAAAGGUCUCCGGUUCGAUCCCGGACGGAACCA